This 468-nucleotide ribosomal RNA is filed under the name uncultured bacterium. RNAcentral's name for it is "partial 16S ribosomal RNA". It matches the Rfam family "Bacterial small subunit ribosomal RNA", at positions 28 to 507 of the family's 1533-position model. The record is from RNAcentral.
GACGAACGCUGGCGGCGUGCUUAACACAUGCAAGUCGAACGGAAAGGCCCUGCUUUUGUGGGGUGCUCGAGUGGCGAACGGGUGAGUAACACGUGAGUAACCUGCCCUUGACUUUGGGAUAACUUCAGGAAACUGGGGCUAAUACCGGAUAGGAGCUCCUGCUGCAUGGUGGGGGUUGGAAAGUUUCGGCGGUUGGGGAUGGACUCGCGGCUUAUCAGCUUGUUGGUGGGGUAGUGGCUUACCAAGGCUUUGACGGGUAGCCGGCCUGAGAGGGUGACCGGCCACAUUGGGACUGAGAUACGGCCCAGACUCCUACGGGAGGCAGCAGUCGGGAAUCUUGCGCAGUGGGCGGAAGCCUGAUGCAGCAACGCCGCGUGCGUGAUGACGGCCUUCGGGUUGUAAACCGCUUUCGCCUGUGACGAAGCGUGAUUGACGGUAAUGGGUAAAGAAGCACCGGCUAACUACGUG